CAUCAACUUGUCUGAACAAAGAUCUAGGGUUCUGAAAAUGUUGCGAUGCAAUCUUUGAUUUCUCAUUCCAUAGAUUAUAGACAGUGCACUGACAUACCAAAAUAAUGAGCAUUGUCGAGUAUGUUUCACCUUGAAUAGACUCCAAAAAACAGAGUGUCGCAUUCCAAGUAGUUGAAGGAGGAUGGUACCCGCAUCGUAAAUAGAUUGUGC
RNAcentral lists this long non-coding RNA (210 nucleotides) under Brassica napus (rape). RNAcentral's name for it is "long non-coding RNA (BNAP_LNC007955)". The record is from RNAcentral. Lineage: Eukaryota; Viridiplantae; Streptophyta; Magnoliopsida; Brassicales; Brassicaceae.